This is a long non-coding RNA of Papaver somniferum (opium poppy), 584 nucleotides long. RefSeq lists it as uncharacterized. NCBI's taxonomy places the organism in Eukaryota, Viridiplantae, Streptophyta, Magnoliopsida, Ranunculales, Papaveraceae. The record is from RefSeq and is a predicted model, not a curated record. The transcript is spliced from 3 exons.
UUAGAGAGAGAAAUAAAAUGAGAACAAAGAAAAUUAAGAGGAAAAAAAUCAGAUCUAGAUACUAAUAUAACAAAUCGAUCGAUAAUGCCUAAAGAAAUGGAACUAGGUAGGUUUAAGAUCAAACCUAAUCAAUUGAUUUUCGAUCAAACCUAAUCAAUUAUCAUCCCAGAUCAAAAAAAUGGGAGGAAACAAUCAAUCGGUGAAGAAGAAAAGCUAGAAGAAUCGACCUUAGCAGAGAAAUUCAGAGAAAAAGAAAACGAUUCGCAACACCAAAUUGAGAAAGAAAAAAUGUAAAAGAAAAAAACUAUGACAAAGUUUCCUUUGUAUUCUAUGCACAUCUUGAUGCUGUUUAGAUGCUACAGUUUCUCAACAUUGAAGAGAUGUCUGAAACCUCAUCAAGCCAUGGUGGGGUAACAUCUGUGAUUGGUUUUAUUGAGAAAUUAUUGAGAAGCUCCAUGUUGUUUUAUUGAGAAGUGAGUUGCGGAUACUCAUGUAAAUGGUUAAUGUAACAAUUAGCUUAAUGUUACCAUCUACUUUGGCUGUACGUUAAUGAAAUGUCCUAAUUCAUACUUUUAGUUUUGAUA